GACGAACGCUGGCGGCGUGCUUAACACAUGCAAGUCGAACGGAAAGGCCCUGCUUUUGUGGGGUGCUCGAGUGGCGAACGGGUGAGUAACACGUGAGUAACCUGCCCUUGCCUUUGGGUUAACUUCAGGAAACUGGGGCUAAUCCCGGAUAGGAGCUCCUGCUGCAUGGUGGGGGUUGGAAAGUUUCGGCGGUUGGGGAUGGACUCGCGGCUUAUCAGCUUGUUGGUGGGGUAGUGGCUUACCAAGGCUUUGACGGGUAGCCGGCCUGAGAGGGUGACCGGCCACAUUGGGACUGAGAUACGGCCCAGACUCCUACGGGAGGCAGCAGUGGGGAAUAUUGCACAAUGGGCGGAAGCCUGAUGCAGCAACGCCGCGUGCGGGAUGACGGCCUUCGGGUUGUAAACCGCUUUCGCCUGUGACGAAGCGUGAGUGACGGUAAUGGGUAAAGAAGCACCGGCUAACUACGUG
RNAcentral lists this ribosomal RNA (468 nucleotides) under uncultured bacterium. RNAcentral's name for it is "partial 16S ribosomal RNA". It matches the Rfam family "Bacterial small subunit ribosomal RNA", at positions 28 to 507 of the family's 1533-position model. The record is from RNAcentral.